Maniola jurtina (meadow brown) is the source of this 2952-nucleotide long non-coding RNA. RefSeq lists it as uncharacterized. The transcript is spliced from 3 exons. NCBI's taxonomy places the organism in Eukaryota, Metazoa, Arthropoda, Insecta, Lepidoptera, Nymphalidae. The record is from RefSeq and is a predicted model, not a curated record.
UACUAAUACAUACUAUUAUAAUAUACCUAAUAUAAUAUUGUACACACACAUUUGAACCAUAUCCUUCAUGUAUAUAACAUUAAUUAAGAUUAUACGAGGUAAUCGCUUAUACAUUUAACAAGCUAAAUAGGAUUUAUUAUAAGUUAGCAACACUCUCCAUAUUAAAAACCCUCAAAUUCCGAAAACUUCAACCCCUAAAGCUAAGUGUAUUAGAAAUAAAACUUACAGAAGAUAGCUUUGGCAAGUCAUUUGCAUAUUGCUUGGAUUGUUCAAACAUUCAGCAGCAAGACAACUUCUGUAAGUUUUAACACUAAUGUUGAAAUUUAUAAACCGCACUGUGACUUUGCUUAGACUUAAGUUUCAGUUAAAAGGAGACAGGUUUAUGCCAGCGGUAUAACGCUGUCUCGUUUUAACAGUGUCUUAAGUCUGAGCAAAGUUAAAGCGCGCUCAAUAGAUCUCAGCCUAAAACUCGCAGAUUAAUGAUAAUAAAUACGCGGCCAGCUGAUAUGAUAUCGGUGCGAAUUUGUUAGUACACAAAAAAUAAACUAAACUUCUUUUACUAACAUCUUUUAUCAUCAUUUUCCUCGAAAACUAUCUUCAACACCCUGUAUCCUCAAAGUAGAUUCUUAGAAAUGUUUAUAAGUGAAAGAUUCAACUAGAUAGUCGAUAAACCAAAGUUUUAUGCCAACUGAUAACAAUCCAAACAAAUGAAACAGCGUUCCUUCAAAAUCAUGUUUUUAUUCAGUUCUUUAUUGCAACAUUCAGUCGCAAUCAUUAUGACUCGUUCCUGGAACAUAAAUGAAAAUAGAUAUUCUCCUAGUUUAGUUUCAAAAGUUUCGUGUACAACCAAAUCAGCACCAAUGGAAACCUUUUACUUUUUACAUAUUACACUAAAAAUACGUACUUAUCACAGACCAGAGGGCAAAAUUGUUUGAUGCAUCUAAAAGUUUUCGCCUGUUACAUGUGAAUUGAUUCAGGAAUUAAACUAAAACCCUUAGUCCAUUGUAUUAUUAGACGUUUUAAAAGGAGAGCCCUGUAAUCAGAUUCAGGAUUCAGCAUAAAAAGUCCCAAAAAAAAUUAAGAUAAAAAAAAAGUAUUCAGCGUAUAAUUAUUUUUCCAGAGCCCGGUACAAAAUCAAAUGAACUUUCAAAUAUUCCUAUGUAAUAGGCGAAACACUUCAAAUACGAUUUUUACUCACAAUUUGGCUGUUUAGGUAAUCAUGAAUAAUAAUUCUAAUACUUUCCCUAAUAUGUCGAGAUAAAUAGUGUUAGUAAAUUAUUUAUUUAUAUUAUAUUUGUUACAGGGAAGAUUGGUAACUUUGUAACGAUUGUUGAAGACACCUUUCAGAGACUUGCCGAACUUAAAGCUCGGACUAACUUUAACUGUUAACUUAAAAACCCGCUGUGGAAAAAAAUAUCCUAGAAUAAUUAUUAUAAAUUCGUCUUAGUUUUUAUAAUUCGGCAUCAUUCGGCGUUCUAUAAUCCAUACUUCAUAAUUUAGAUCCUAUAUAUUUUCUACAUAAUAUUGAUGUUACUCUGUCAAUAUUAUCGCGAUACGCAAUAUCGCGAUCCUGUAUUCAGGAAACAUUGAUGGUAUUGACAGCAUUACAAUGUAUCCGAAUAUUCUUGAAAUCCUGCGAUAUGGCAUUGAUAGUGAAACACCCCUUAUUAUGUUCGACUUUCUUUCGGUUCGUCCGAUAGACAAAACGCGGGCCAAAAUAUGAUAUCUGGUUAAAUGGCAUGUUAUUCUGGUUAAUUGGCAAGGAAUUCCGAACCAGUGGUAGAUGCAUUUGAUUCAAAAGUACUUGUAAAAGUUUUAUUUAAUAAAAAAAUAUUUUUACUUAUUUAUUUAUAUGAUUCCGCCCCUAAUCUCCCCUGUAACAACAAACUAGCCCUUAAUUAAACGUUAAAAUAAUUCCAACAUUAUCACCCAUACAACAUUUACAAGGAAUGUUCUAUUCCAAACAAAUAUACCACACCGAUGCAAUGGUACAGCCUUCCGUCAAAGUAUGGAAAUAUGGAAUGGUGGUUAAUUGCGUCACGCAAUCGCAAUCAUUACAACUGACUACUGAAGCCCUUAAGAAAAAAUUACAUUACUAGUUUUCAAGCUAUAUUGAAGUAAAAAAUUCAAUUCAAUGGAAUCCAAUCAAAUGCAAUCAAAGUUUGACAAUUAGAUCAAUCUUCUGUAGCCAAACUUUGAUGGGCUCAAUGCAAUAAUUUGACAAAACUCCCUUUCUGUAACUUUUCCUAGUGGCCAAAAUACACAGUUUGCUAAAUUACCAAGAACUGGUCAAAUAAAGUUCAUUUAUUCAAAAUAGCUACCCAUUGUAUUUGUAUACUCAUUGAUUGUCAAUUGUUAUAUCUUGUUCGUGAUAUCUAUUGAUUGAAAUUGCAUUACGCAACUAACCCUAAUCUAUAUAGGUAUUGAUAAAAUUUAAUUCUGGACGGCUUAGGAGAGUUAAUGUUUUAAUUUGUUUCAAGAGGUACAUCAUGAUAAAAUUAUCACGUCAUAUAACAACUUGAUUGGUCUAUUGAACAUGUCUCCACCCGCUUAGGGUGAACGCACACUUACUCGAGCCGAACGCGUCGAACGGGUCGAAUGAAACGAAUUUAAGAAUUCUGUAUCUGAAGUCUCAUGAAACCUCGCACAUUUCCGCGCGUCGAAGGUUCGGACGAUUCGACGCGGGGAAGUGUGCGAGGUUUCAUGAGACUUCAUAAGGCUUUCAUUCAUUUCAUUCGGCUCGGAUAAAUGUGUGUUCAUCUUUAGGUAAACGCAGUCUAACCGUGAGUUUGCACUAACGAAACAUUUACAUAAAAAUAUAUUGAAAAUUGUGUUUUCUGUUAAUGUGUCGAACUGCGUUUGCAUUGUCAUAUAAUUUAUUGAACAGACUUAUUUGACACUUCAUCAAAUCUUGAAAUCUGUCAAAGAAUUUACCCUUAUAAAAAUACAACA